GGUCCGUUGUCUGGAAUGGCUUCGGGGAGCAGGGCGAUCGGAUCCUGCCUUGCUCCCUGUUCUUUGUGAGAACCUUUCCCCACAUAUGAGUCGGGCCGGGAAUCCAGCUGAUUGCUCGGACUCGGCCGACUCCAUCGGUGAGAGCUGGUCAAGUUUUGAUCUUUACUUCUGAGC
Nothoprocta perdicaria is the source of this 174-nucleotide long non-coding RNA. RefSeq lists it as uncharacterized. The transcript has 2 exons. The record is from RefSeq and is a predicted model, not a curated record. Lineage: Eukaryota; Metazoa; Chordata; Aves; Tinamiformes; Tinamidae.